Molecule: ribosomal RNA, 200 nt
Filed under: uncultured bacterium
Lineage: Bacteria
Description: partial 16S ribosomal RNA
Rfam family: Bacterial small subunit ribosomal RNA
Source: RNAcentral
AGAGUUUGAUCCUGGCUCAGGACGAACGCUGGCGGCGUGCUUAACACAUGCAAGUCAAGGCGGUAGCAAUACCGACUGGCGCACGGGUGCGGAACACGUAGGCAAUCUGCCCUUAAAGGGAGAACAACCAGUCGAAAGAUUGGCUAAAUCUCCGUAACAUCAUAGAGUGGCAUCACUCAGUGAUCAAGUUUUUUUAAGGA